CCUACGGGUGGCAGCAGUGAGGAAUAUUGGUCAAUGGACGCAAGACUGAACCAGCCAUGCCGCGUGCAGGAAGACGGCUCUGUGAGUUGUAAACUGCUUUUGUACGAGGGUAAACGCAGAUACGCGUAUCUGUCUGAAAGUAUCGUACGAAUAAGGAUCGGCUAACUCCGUGCCAGCAGCCGCGGUAAUACGGAGGAUUCAAGCGUUAUCCGGAUUUAUUGGGUUUAAAGGGUGCGUAGGCGGUCGGAUAAGUUAGAGGUUAAAUCCCGAGGCUCAACUUCGGAAUUGCCUCUGAUACUGUUCGGCUAGAGAGUAGUUGCGGUAGGCGGAAUGUAUGGUGUAGCGGUGAAAUGCUUAGAGAUCAUACAGAACACCGAUUGCGAAGGCAGCUUACCAAGCUACUUCUGACGUUGAGGCACGAAAGCGUGGGGAGCAAACAGGAUUAGAUACCCUUGUAGUC
RNAcentral lists this ribosomal RNA (460 nucleotides) under uncultured bacterium. Its description in RNAcentral is "partial 16S ribosomal RNA". It matches the Rfam family "Bacterial small subunit ribosomal RNA", at positions 338 to 795 of the family's 1533-position model. The record is from RNAcentral.